CUGCCAUUCAGUCUCGGAAGAAGUCGAAUGUAUGAAACUGAGGAAGGAUCAUCUAACCAGCAGUGGUACCACAUACUGGGUUGGGCCUUUCUGCCUCCAUCAUCAACCAGUGCCUCACAGAACAGUGCCUCCCUCAGGCUAGUCUGCUAAAGAUAUCUUCUCAGUGAGCUCGGAGGCAGGCCCAGUGGUGGUUCUGUAAAUAUUUGUCCGAUGGAUUUGCCAUCUUCGACUCCAUUGUCUCCUACUAUGAAUACGCUUCUUCUUGGAAAGGCUGUUCUGAUGAGAAUACCCCCAUUCACAAGUGCUCUGGACAGUCUGAGUCAGGGCAUCUGAAGAUGGGACUGCAAGCAAAUCUAAGGUGUGGCUGUGCUACCAGCGCUACUUCUUACUCGCACAAGG
Long non-coding RNA from Mastomys coucha (southern multimammate mouse), 399 nucleotides. RefSeq lists it as uncharacterized. The record is from RefSeq and is a predicted model, not a curated record. Lineage: Eukaryota; Metazoa; Chordata; Mammalia; Rodentia; Muridae. The transcript has 4 exons.